AAUAAUCCGCAAUGGAGGGAACUCUGCCGCAGCGACCCCGCGCGAGCGAUGAAGGUCUUCGGACCGGAAAGCUCUGUCCUUGGGGAGGGAGGUCUUCGGACUUGACGGUACCUAAGGAGGCAGCCCGGGCUAACUACGUGCCAGCAGCCGCGGUAAUACGUAGGGGGCAAGCGUUGUCCGGAAUUAUUGGGCGUAAAGGGUGCGUAGGCGGCCUUUUAAGUCAGAUGUGAAAGCCCACGGCUUAACCGUGGGACUGCAUUUGAAACUGGAGGGCUUGAGUAUCGGAGAGGGUAGUGGAAUUCCCAGUGUAGCGGUGGAAUGCGUAGAUAUUGGGAGGAACACCAGUGGCGAAGGCGACUACCUGGACGAAAACUGACGCUGAGGCACGAAAGCUAGGGGAGCAAACA
Molecule: ribosomal RNA, 407 nt
Filed under: uncultured bacterium
Lineage: Bacteria
Description: partial 16S ribosomal RNA
Rfam family: Bacterial small subunit ribosomal RNA
Source: RNAcentral